UUCCUUGGGGAUUAAGAUUUGAAUGUUCUAGGGUUUCUUAGAGAGAAAUUAUGUGAAAAGUAUGCAUAAUAUGCUUAAAAUAGGCUAGAUUCUGUGUCUUACACGAUUUGGAAGCUUAGGAAAUGACUAGGUUGUCCUUUGUAAAAAAUUAAUUUGGAACUAAAAAUCUUGAUUUUGGGCCUCGGCGUGAUGCACCACAAUCGCGGUGGCU
Molecule: long non-coding RNA, 211 nt
Filed under: Capsicum annuum
Lineage: Eukaryota; Viridiplantae; Streptophyta; Magnoliopsida; Solanales; Solanaceae
Description: long non-coding RNA (CANN_LNC022326)
Source: RNAcentral